RNAcentral lists this ribosomal RNA (1033 nucleotides) under Globigerinoides sacculifer. Its description in RNAcentral is "SSU rRNA". It matches the Rfam family "Eukaryotic small subunit ribosomal RNA", at positions 1160 to 1816 of the family's 1831-position model. Lineage: Eukaryota; Foraminifera; Rotaliida; Globigerinidae. The record is from RNAcentral.
AAAGGCACCACAAGCGCGUGGAGCAUGUGGCUUAAUUUGACUCAACGCGGGAAAUCUUACCAGGUCCAGACAUAUGGAGGAUUGACAGACAGUUAACCAAAACGCAGCAGCUAGUUUAACAAAACUAACAGCUCUUUCAAGAUUAUGUGGUAGGUGGUGCAUGGCCGUUCUUAGUUCGUGAAGUGAUUCGUUCGCCCAAUCGCAUCUCCAAACAACUAACAACUCAGAAUGCUGGGCAAUAGGACGUUUAAAGUGGCUCCUUACACCUUACAAAGGAAUGGCUGAUGAGAAACAACUCGAUCCGCUCAGCGUUCUAUUGGAAUGCAACGGACGUGAUUGCAAGCUUUUGUUUUGAGUUGCGGUUUUACAUAAACACUCUACAAUCUGCAAACUUCAAUGAUCUGAAGUAGAAAACCUACAUGCUACAGUGAGAUAUUGUGGAUAAACUUAAGCGACCGCUCCAACAUUGUGUUUUUUUAAAACUGAUGAAGGUUGCGGCAAUAACAGGUCUGUGAUGCCCUUCGAUGUCCUGGGCUGCACACGUGCUACAAUGGCUAGCGCAGUGAGCAUAUUUCAACCGAAACAUCGGUUGGCUGUUCUGAUUGACCCCUUCUGGUCUCUCUGUAACGCUACCGAUGAUCCCUCCUCUGAAAAGAGAGGGUAAGCCGUUCGAAAUUCUGGUAACGAUUCCCCGUAGUUAAGCAAACUUAAACCAUAGUGGUGUCAAACGGUCCGCUUCCAUCGGAAAAGAUUCCUCCGGAAAAAGGCUUAUGCAGGCAUUUCACGUAUGCUCCUAUAAAUUCCUGGUAGGGAUAGUCUAUUGUAACUGGUAGACUUGUCAACUAGGAAUGCCUUGUACGGGUGGGGUAGCACAUUCCACCCGGGAUACGUCCCUGCCUUUUGUACACACCGCCCGUCGCUCUUACCAAUUGAACAGCACUACGAGUUUAAAGGCCCGAGAAAUUGGAAAUUUAGUCAAACAGUGCUGUUUAAAGGAAAGAGAAGUCGUAACAAGGCAUCGGUAGGUGAACCU